GCGUUGCUCGGAAUUACUGGGCGUAAAGGGCGCGUAGGCGGACAUUUAAGUCGGGGGUGAAAGCCCGGGGCUCAACCUCGGAAUUGCCUUCGAUACUGGCUGUCUUGAGUACGGGAGAGGUGUGUGGAACUCCGAGUGUAGAGGUGAAAUUCGUAGAUAUUCGGAAGAACACCAGUGGCGAAGGCGACACACUGGCCCGUUACUGACGCUGAGGCGCGAAAGCGUG
RNAcentral lists this ribosomal RNA (226 nucleotides) under uncultured bacterium. RNAcentral describes it as "partial 16S ribosomal RNA". It matches the Rfam family "Bacterial small subunit ribosomal RNA", at positions 538 to 763 of the family's 1533-position model. The record is from RNAcentral.